Molecule: ribosomal RNA, 464 nt
Filed under: uncultured organism
Description: bacterial SSU rRNA
Rfam family: Bacterial small subunit ribosomal RNA
Source: RNAcentral
GACGAACGCUGGCGGCGUGCUUAACACAUGCAAGUCGAACGGUAAGGCCUCUUCGGGGGUACACGAGUGGCGAACGGGUGAGUAACACGUGAGUAACCUGCCCUUGACUUUGGGAUAACAUCUGGAAACAGGUGCUAAUACCGGAUAUGAGCUUGUCCUGCAUGGGAUGGGUUGGAAAGCUCCGGCGGUCAUGGAUGGACUCGCGGCCUAUCAGCUUGUUGGUGAGGUAAUGGCUCACCAAGGCUUCGACGGGUAGCCGGCCUGAGAGGGCGACCGGCCACAUUGGGACUGAGAUACGGCCCAAACUCCUACGGGAGGCAGCAGUGGGGAAUAUUGCACAAUGGGCGGAAGCCUGAUGCAGCAACGCCGCGUGCGGGAUGACGGCCUUCGGGUUGUAAACCGCUUUCAGCAGGGACGAAGCGUGAGUGACGGUACCUGCAGAAGAAGCACCGGCUAACUACGUG